This 468-nucleotide ribosomal RNA is filed under the name uncultured bacterium. RNAcentral's name for it is "partial 16S ribosomal RNA". It matches the Rfam family "Bacterial small subunit ribosomal RNA", at positions 28 to 507 of the family's 1533-position model. The record is from RNAcentral.
GACGAACGCUGGCGGCGUGCUUAACACAUGCAAGUCGAACGGAAAGGCCCUGCUUUUGUGGGGUGCUCGAGUGGCGAACGGGUGAGUAACACGUGAGUAACCUGCCCUUGACUUUGGGAUAACUUCAGGAAACUGGGGCUAAUACCGGAUAGGAGCUCCUGCUGCAUGGUGGGGGUUGGAAAGUUUCGGCGGUUGGGGAUGGACUGGCGGCUUAUCAGCUUGUUGGUGGGGGAGUGGCUUACCAAGGCUUUGACGGGUAGCCGGCCUGAGAGGGUGACCGGCCACAUUGGGACUGAGAUACGGCCCAGACGCCUACGGGAGGCAGCAGUGGGGAAUAUUGCACAAUGGGCGGAAGCGUGAUGCAGCAACGCCGCGUGCGGGAUGACGGCCUUCGGGUUGUAAACCGCUUUCGCCUGUGACGAAGCGUGAGUGACGGUAAUGGGUAAAGAAGCACCGGCUAACUACGUG